This 246-nucleotide unclassified non-coding RNA is filed under the name Hevea brasiliensis (rubber tree). The record is from RNAcentral. Lineage: Eukaryota; Viridiplantae; Streptophyta; Magnoliopsida; Malpighiales; Euphorbiaceae.
GCAAGUUUUCCCCCACACUCUUCCCCUCUCGUCAAUCCCUUUCGCCGGCGAUCCUCCCCACUCUCCAGCAGCCGCGCGCAGUGUGCCGACAGUCGUCCGUGCGCCGCCGUUUGUCGUUCCGUCUGUGGUAUAGGUUAGGCACUUGGCAUUGUCCUUGGUUUGGGCCAAACUAGAAGAUGAAGCUUGACGUGAACGCGCUGCGCUAUCUCUCAAAAGAUGAUUUUAGGGUUCUUACUGCUGUUGAGA